Molecule: transfer RNA, 72 nt
Filed under: Candidatus Bathyarchaeota archaeon
Lineage: Archaea; Thermoproteati; Candidatus Bathyarchaeota
Description: tRNA-Asp
Rfam family: tRNA
About the family: Transfer RNA (tRNA) molecules are approximately 80 nucleotides in length. Their secondary structure includes four short double-helical elements and three loops (D, anti-codon, and T loops).
Source: RNAcentral
GCUCUGGUGGUGUAAAGGUUAGCAUUGGAGGCUGUCACCCUCCCGAUCCGGGUUCAAGUCCCGGCCAGAGCG